Molecule: ribosomal RNA, 493 nt
Filed under: uncultured bacterium
Lineage: Bacteria
Description: partial 16S ribosomal RNA
Rfam family: Bacterial small subunit ribosomal RNA
Source: RNAcentral
GACGAACGCUGGCGGCGUGCUUAACACAUGCAAGUCGAACGGUGAAGGGACCGGUUUUUGCUGGUUCUGGAUGAGUGGCGAACGGGUGAGUAACACGUGAGUAACCUGCCCCCUUCUUCUGGAUAACCGCAUGAAAGUGUGGCUAAUACGGGAUAUUCUGCGCCUGCUGCAUGGUGGGUGUGGGAAAGAUAUUGUUUCGGUGGGGGAUGGGCUCGCGGCCUAUCAGCUUGUUGGUGGGGUGAUGGCCUACCAAGGCGGUGACGGGUAGCCGGCCUGAGAGGGUGGACGGUCACACUGGGACUGAGACACGGCCCAGACUCCUACGGGAGGCAGCAGUGGGGAAUAUUGCACAAUGGGCGCAAGCCUGAUGCAGCGACGCCGCGUGAGGGAUGGAGGCCUUCGGGUUGUAAACCUCUUUCGCCAGUGAAGCAGGCCUGUCCCUUUUGUGGGUGGGUUGACGGUAGCUGGAUAAGAAGCGCCAGCUAACUACGUG